GACGAACGCUGGCGGCGUGCCUAAUACAUGCAAGUCGAACGAGAGCGCCCGGUGCUUGCACUGGUCAAUCUAGUGGCGAACGGGUGAGUAACACGUGGGUAACCUGCCCAUCAGAGGGGGAUAACAUCCGGAAACGGAUGCUAAAACCGCAUAGGUCUUCGAGCCGCAUGGCUUGAAGAGGAAAAGAGGCGCAAGCUUCUGCUGAUGGAUGGACCCGCGGUGCAUUAGCUAGUUGGUGAGGUAACGGCUCACCAAGGCCGUGAUGCAUAGCCGACCUGAGAGGGUGAUCGGCCACAUUGGGACUGAGACACGGCCCAAACUCCUACGGGAGGCAGCAGUAGGGAAUCUUCCGCAAUGGACGCAAGUCUGACGGAGCAACGCCGCGUGAGUGAAGAAGGUUUUCGGAUCGUAAAACUCUGUUGUUAGAGAAGAACAAGUGCUAGAGUAACUGUUAGCGCCUUGACGGUAUCUAACCAGAAAGCCACGGCUAACUACAUG
RNAcentral lists this ribosomal RNA (498 nucleotides) under uncultured bacterium. Its description in RNAcentral is "partial 16S ribosomal RNA". It matches the Rfam family "Bacterial small subunit ribosomal RNA", at positions 28 to 507 of the family's 1533-position model. The record is from RNAcentral.